Molecule: ribosomal RNA, 253 nt
Filed under: uncultured bacterium
Lineage: Bacteria
Description: partial 16S ribosomal RNA
Rfam family: Bacterial small subunit ribosomal RNA
Source: RNAcentral
UACGGAGGGCCCAAGCGUUAAUCGGAAUUACUGGGCUUAAAGGGUGCGUAGGCGGGCCUGCAAGUACCUUGUGAAAUCCCACGGCUCAACCGUGGAAUCGCUUGGUAAACUGCCGGUCUUGAGCCCGACAGAGGCCAUCGGAACUCUAGGUGGAGCGGUGAAAUGCGUAGAUAUCUAGAGGAACGCCCAAGGCGAAAGCAGGUGGCUGGGUCGGCGCUGACGCUGAGGCACGAAAGCGUGGGGAGCGAACCGG